CUGAACCAGCCAAGUAGCGUGAAGGAUGACUGCCCUAUGGGUUGUAAACUUCUUUUAUAAAGGAAUAAAGUCGGGUAUGCAUACCGCGUUUGCAUGUACUUUAUGAAUAAGGAUCGGCUAACUCCGUGCCAGCAGCCGCGGUAAUACGGAGGAUCCGAGCGUUAUCCGGAUUUAUCGGGUUUAAAGGGAGCGUAGAUGGAUGUUUAAGUCAGUUGUGAAAGUUUGCGG
This 228-nucleotide ribosomal RNA is filed under the name uncultured Bacteroides sp. RNAcentral's name for it is "partial 16S ribosomal RNA". It matches the Rfam family "Bacterial small subunit ribosomal RNA", at positions 383 to 607 of the family's 1533-position model. Lineage: Bacteria; Pseudomonadati; Bacteroidota; Bacteroidia; Bacteroidales; Bacteroidaceae. The record is from RNAcentral.